Molecule: ribosomal RNA, 434 nt
Filed under: uncultured bacterium
Lineage: Bacteria
Description: partial 16S ribosomal RNA
Rfam family: Bacterial small subunit ribosomal RNA
Source: RNAcentral
AGCGAACGCUGGCGGCAGGCCUAACACAUGCAAGUCGAACGAACCUUUCGGGGUUAGUGGCGGACGGGUGGGUAACACGUGGGAACGUGCCUUUAGGUUCGGAAUAACUCAGGGAAACUUGUGCUAAUACCGAAUGUGCCCUCCGGGGGAAAGAUUAAUAGCCUGUAGAGCGGCCCGCGUCUGAUUAGCUAGUUGGUUGAGGUAAUGGCUCACCAAGGCGACGAGCAGUAGCUGGUCUGAGAGGAGGAUCAGCCACAUUGGGAGUGAGACACGGCCCAAACUCCUACGGGAGGCAGCAGUGGGGAAUCUUGCGCAAUGGGCGAAAGCCUGAAGCAGCCAUGCCGCGUGAAUGAUGAAGGUCUUAGGAUUGUAAAAUUCUUUCACCGGGGACGAUAAUGACGGUACCCGGAGAAGAAGCCCCGGCUAACUUCGUG